GAUGAAGAACGCAGCGAAAUGCGAUAAUUAAUGUGAAUUGCAGAAUUUAGUGAAUCAUCGAAUCUUUGAACGCACAUUGCGCCCCCUGGUAUUCCGGGGGGCAUGCCUGUCCGAGCGUCAUUACAACCCUCAAGCUCAGCUUGGUAUUGGGCCCCGCCGACCCGGCGGGCCCUAAAGUCAGUGGCGGUGCCGUCCGGCUCCGAGCGUAGUAAUUCUUCUCGCUCUGGAGGUCCGGUCGUGUGCUCGCCAGCAACCCCCAAUUUUUUUCAGGUUGACCUCGGAUCAGGUAGGGAUACCCGCUGAACUUAAGCAUAUCAAUAAGCGGAGGA
RNAcentral lists this unclassified non-coding RNA (329 nucleotides) under soil metagenome. RNAcentral describes it as "partial contains 5.8S ribosomal RNA, internal transcribed spacer 2, and large subunit ribosomal RNA". The stretch from base 1 to 120 matches the Rfam family "5.8S ribosomal RNA", at positions 35 to 154 of the family's 154-position model. The record is from RNAcentral.